AGUGAACGCUGGCGGUAGGCCUAACACAUGCAAGUCGAACGGCAGCACAGUAAGAGCUUGCUCUUACGGGUGGCGAGUGGCGGACGGGUGAGGAAUACAUCGGAAUCUACUUUUUCGUGGGGGAUAACGUAGGGAAACUUACGCUAAUACCGCAUACGACCUACGGGUGAAAGCAGGGGAUCUUCGGAACUUGCGCGAUUGAAUGAGCCGAUGUCGGAUUAGUUAGUUGGCGGGGUAAAGACCCACCAAGGCGACGAUCCGUAGCUGGUCUGAGAGGAUGAUCAGCCACACUGGAACUGAGACACGGUCCAGACUCCUACGGGAGGCAGCAGUGGGGAAUAUUGGACAAUGGGCGCAAGCCUGAUCCAGCCAUACCGCGUGGGUGAAGAAGGCCUUCGGGUUGUAAAGCCCUUUUGUUGGGAAAGAAAAGCAGCAGGUUAAUACCCCGCUGUUCUGACGGUACCCAAAGAAUAAGCACCGGCUAACUUCGUG
This 492-nucleotide ribosomal RNA is filed under the name uncultured bacterium. RNAcentral's name for it is "partial 16S ribosomal RNA". It matches the Rfam family "Bacterial small subunit ribosomal RNA", at positions 29 to 507 of the family's 1533-position model. The record is from RNAcentral.